This is a non-coding RNA of Pelobates cultripes (western spadefoot toad), 373 nucleotides long. NCBI's taxonomy places the organism in Eukaryota, Metazoa, Chordata, Amphibia, Anura, Pelobatidae. The record is from the annotation of a GenBank genome assembly.
UAUUUACAUAACUGAUUCCUGAGUCAAAGCUCUGCCCCCUCCUCCAUCCUGCAACGAAUGGGGUCUAAUGCUCAUGCGCGGUCAACUGGUCAAAAUGUUUCUAGCUACCCUCCUGUUUCCUACCCUGUGGGUUCAGGAGGGUGGAUUACCUGGGAUCCAGAGUGCUGCCUGAGGUAGUUGGGAGUUGGAGGAGCUGGCCCAGCCCAGCCCCCCUUGUCUCUGCCUUCUCCUGCUCCAGUCUUCUUGGGAGGACAUCACUUCCUCCCAUGCUGAAAAGAAGGGGGUUGGCGGUAGCUCUGCCGCUGCUGGGGACCAGCCAUGAUGUGUACUACACAUGGAGCAGAGAUAUGAUGUCUUCAUAUCCCCACCCCCC